UACAGAGGGUGCAAGCGUUGUUCGGAAUUACUGGGCGUAAAGGGCGCGUAGGCGGAUAGUUUAGUCAGAGGUAAAAGCCCAGGGCUCAACCUUGGAACUGCCUUUGAUACUGGCUAUCUUGAGUUCGGGAGAGGUGAGUGGAAUGCCGAGUGUAGAGGUGAAAUUCGUAGAUAUUCGGCGGAACACCAGUGGCGAAGGCGACUCACUGGCCCGAUACUGACGCUGAGGCGCGAAAGCCAGGGGAGCGAACGGG
RNAcentral lists this ribosomal RNA (253 nucleotides) under uncultured bacterium. RNAcentral's name for it is "partial 16S ribosomal RNA". It matches the Rfam family "Bacterial small subunit ribosomal RNA", at positions 524 to 776 of the family's 1533-position model. The record is from RNAcentral.